GUACAAAAGAAAAGUGUGUAUGGGCGAUCAAGAAGGCCCAUGGUCUAGGACAGUGACAUCCAUUACACUUUGGAUGGGUGUUGUUCUAAGGUCUGUUCAAUGGCAGAGCCUAUGUCAUAAUUUGUGGUAGAGGGGGUCUAUGUUCGCGCAGCCUCUAC
Vigna unguiculata (cowpea) is the source of this 158-nucleotide small nuclear RNA. The record is from RefSeq and is a predicted model, not a curated record. Lineage: Eukaryota; Viridiplantae; Streptophyta; Magnoliopsida; Fabales; Fabaceae.